Molecule: ribosomal RNA, 422 nt
Filed under: uncultured bacterium
Lineage: Bacteria
Description: partial 16S ribosomal RNA
Rfam family: Bacterial small subunit ribosomal RNA
Source: RNAcentral
GAAUAUUGGACAAUGGGGGCAACCCUGAUCCAGCCAUGCCGCGUGUGGGAAGAAGGCCUUUUGGUUGUAAAGCACUUUAAGCAGUGAAGAAGACUCCAUGGUUAAUAACCAUGGACGAUGACAUUAGCUGCAGAAGACGCACCGGCUAACUAUGUGCCAGCCGCCGCGGUAAUACAGCGGGUGCAAGCGUUAAUCGGAAUUACUGGGCGUAAAGCGGGCGUAGGUGGCUUGAUAGGUCGGAUGUGGAAUCCCCGGGCUUAACCUGGGAACUGCAUCUGAUACUGUUAGGCUAGAAUAGGUGAGAGGAAGGUAGAAUUCCAGGUGUAGCGGUGAAAUGCGUAGAGAUCUGGAGGAAUACCGAUGGCGAAGGCAGCCUUCUGGCAUCAUAUUGACACUGAGGUUCGAAAGCGUGGGUAGCAAAC